Molecule: ribosomal RNA, 400 nt
Filed under: uncultured bacterium
Lineage: Bacteria
Description: bacterial SSU rRNA
Rfam family: Bacterial small subunit ribosomal RNA
Source: RNAcentral
GGGGAAUCUUAGACAAUGGGGGAAACCCUGAUCUAGCCAUGCCGCGUGAUCGAUGAAGGCCUUAGGGUUGUAAAGAUCUUUCAGGUGGGAAGAUAAUGACUGUACCACCAGAAGAAGCCCCGGCUAACUCCGUGCCAGCAGCCGCGGUAAUACGGAGGGGGCUAGCGUUAUUCGGAAUUACUGGGCGUAAAGCGCACGUAGGCGGACUGGAAAGUCAGAGGUGAAAUCCCAGGGCUCAACCUUGGAACUGCCUUUGAAACUCUCAGUCUUGAGGUCGAGAGAGGUGAGUGGAAUUCCGAGUGUAGAGGUGAAAUUCGUAGAUAUUCGGAGGAACACCAGUGGCGAAGGCGGCUCACUGGCUCGAUACUGACGCUGAGGUGCGAAAGCGUGGGGAGCAAAC